RNAcentral lists this transfer RNA (84 nucleotides) under Ostreobium quekettii. RNAcentral's name for it is "tRNA-Met". It matches the Rfam family "tRNA". From Rfam's summary of the family: Transfer RNA (tRNA) molecules are approximately 80 nucleotides in length. Their secondary structure includes four short double-helical elements and three loops (D, anti-codon, and T loops). Further hydrogen bonds mediate the characteristic L-shaped molecular structure. tRNAs have two regions of fundamental functional importance: the anti-codon, which is responsible for specific mRNA codon recognition, and the 3' end, to which the tRNAs corresponding amino acid is attached (by aminoacyl-tRNA synthetases). tRNAs cope with the degeneracy of the genetic code in two manners: having more than one tRNA (with a specific anti-codon) for a particular amino acid; and 'wobble' base-pairing, i.e. permitting non-standard base-pairing at the 3rd anti-codon position. Lineage: Eukaryota; Viridiplantae; Chlorophyta; Ulvophyceae; Bryopsidales; Ostreobiaceae. The record is from RNAcentral.
GCAUGUAUGGCUGAGUGGUCGAAAGCGAUGGACUCAUAAUCCAUUUCCUAAUGGACACCGUAGGUUCAAACCCUGCUACAUGCA